Otolemur garnettii (small-eared galago) is the source of this 79-nucleotide non-coding RNA. The record is from Rfam. Lineage: Eukaryota; Metazoa; Chordata; Mammalia; Primates; Galagidae.
AGAGGUACAAAAGAGGGAGCUUCCGGUUAGCCCUCCUAUUGCAGCUGCCAGAACCUAGAUUCAAAAAGAGCUUCCAAGG